ACGAACGCUGGCGGCUGCUUAACACAUGCAAGUCGAACGGAGUGGCGAACGGGUGAGUAACUCGUGAGCAACUUGCCUAUGACAUUGGGAUAGCCUCGGGAAACCGGGAUUAAUACCGCAUAGUCAUAGAUGGGCUCGCGUCUGAUUAGCUAGUUGGUGAGGUAACAGCCCACCAAGGCGACGAUCAGUAGCCGGUCUGAAGGGAUGAACGGCCAAAUUGGAACUGAGUCACGGUCCAAACUCUUACGGGAGGCAGCAGUGGGGAAUAUUGCACAAUGGGGGAAACCCUGAGGCAGCGACGCCGCGUGAACGAAGAAGGUAUUCGUAUCGUAAAGUUCUGUCCUAUGGGAAGCAGUACCAUAGAAGAAAGCUCCGGCGAAAUACGUGCCAGCAGCCGCGGUAAUUC
RNAcentral lists this ribosomal RNA (406 nucleotides) under uncultured bacterium. Its description in RNAcentral is "partial 16S ribosomal RNA". It matches the Rfam family "Bacterial small subunit ribosomal RNA", at positions 29 to 526 of the family's 1533-position model. The record is from RNAcentral.